This 1630-nucleotide long non-coding RNA is filed under the name Homo sapiens (human). Its description in RNAcentral is "HSALNT0317195". The record is from RNAcentral. Lineage: Eukaryota; Metazoa; Chordata; Mammalia; Primates; Hominidae.
AGAGCACUCCUAACCCCCCGGGGCAAGGAGGGGAGGCCAGGCAGCCGGAAGGAAACUCCUGAGCUUUUUACGGAAUGCACAAGACAAAAGAGUGCUGCUUGCUCUGCAGCUGGUCCAAGAAGCUUCACCUCCCAGGAGCACCAGACAGAUGAUCUCCUGUUUACAGUGGUUCCAGGAGCACCAACCCCAAGGAUGAGUUAUAAGCAGGUCUCUAAAGAGAUUUUAGGAGAAGCUGCUAAAAUGGUGGCAAAGCUCUUUAGAAACAUAGAAGUAUGAACCUUUUUAUGGGGAGAACUUAUAAGAGUUUGGAGAGGUCUUCCAGGUCCACACAACCUCCCUGGAAAUGGCAAGGAGUUAUAAUUUCCAUUUUACAGAUGAAAAAUGAAAAAGAGGAGAAGGGGAUGCCAUUUGCUCAAGGCUGCUGGAACGCUAGGCUGGCUCUGGGACUAUCACGAAAAGUUUCUAACCCCCCGCCACGGCUCUUCUCACAACACAAGAAUGAGCUCAGAGAGGUUAAUGAACCUGCCAAAGACCCCAGCUGAGAGACUGAGUUGGUUUGCAGAUUCCAAAGCCCACAUUCAUUCCAUUUUAUCUCAUCUUUAGUGGACUUUGAACAUGCCUCAGCCUUCACCUUGACCCUUGGUGAAGGUGCUGAGAACCAAGACCCAGUGCAGCGGUGUCUCUGGAACCUCCUGGAGCUCAGCAGCCGACUCCCAAACCUGGAGGUCCUCACUCUGCACCCUGUGCUCUGCCCUCUGGCUGAUCCUCAGCAUUCCCAGGCAGCCUGGCUCCCUGUAAAGUUGUUUAAACUUCUGUUUAUCAUCAUCUUCCAUCAUUUCUAAUUGUUUUCCUGUGUCCCUUUCUUUUGUAGAGGAUAUAAACUCAGCAUUUUAGCUUUUGAAAUAGAUUUGCUGUGCAGUUUCAUGGCUCUUUAGUGGCUUAAAAUGUAUUGUUCUGUGAGUCUUUCUGUGCCCGUCACAGCAUUCACUGUGGGAAGCAGCAGGACGCCAGCGAUGCUGAUGUUUAUUUGAUUUUAGGGGACUUUAAGGCAUUCCUGGGACCAUACGGAUUCUAAAUAUUCUGCCUCAUUGUCUUCAGAAGCUACUAAAAUAUCCUAGAAAUGAUCAUGUUUCAGCAUGUAAGCUACAUAUUUCACGUUACCUCUUGUAUCCAUCCAUACAUAGCCUCUAUCAAGAGCCUGGCAUAAGCCAAUGUAAUGGUUCUGAAAUGGUAACCACAUGGUUCUUCAAUCACUAAAACCCUUUCCACUCUGAGAUUGGACAUUCAUUGCUAUUUUCUGCCAGGGCUUUGAUUUACAAGACUGUCUAUGAGUUCUGUGUUUAAUAUACAGAACUGGCUGCCCUCAAUGCAUGAGACUUCCUGGUAUUUUUUUCAUGUGAUUAGAUGGAUUACAUUUGUUUCAUAUUUAUUGUUUAGAUAUACAAGUAAUCCUCACUUUGCACAGUGUCAUGUCUGCAUAUUGAAACCCUAUACUCACUUUGUGCAAUCCUUUGGUAAGUGCAAAGUGAGAACACAGGUCUGAUAUGUACAAGUUUCAGUGAACAUGGUACUAUGCAUCAUGAAGACUAUCUGAAGUUGCUUUCAAAUAAAAUUUGGAUAAGGACUGUAA